RNAcentral lists this ribosomal RNA (253 nucleotides) under uncultured bacterium. RNAcentral describes it as "partial 16S ribosomal RNA". It matches the Rfam family "Bacterial small subunit ribosomal RNA", at positions 524 to 776 of the family's 1533-position model. The record is from RNAcentral.
UACGGAGGGUGCGAGCGUUGUCCGGAAUCACUGGGCGUAAAGGGCGCGUAGGCGGCCUGAUAAGUAGGGGGUGAAAUCCUGCGGCUUAACCGCAGGGCUGCCUUCUAAACUGUCAGGCUCGAGCACAGUAGAGGCAGGUGGAAUUCCCGGUGUAGCGGUGGAAUGCGUAGAGAUCGGGAAGAACACCAAUGGCGAAAGCACUCUGCUGGGCCGAAACUGACACUGAGAGACGAAAGCUAGGGGAGCGAAUGGG